AAACCAACUGGGAUUACCUUAGUAACGGCGAGUGAAGCGGUAAAAGCUCAAAUUUGAAAUCUGGUACUUUCAGUGCCCGAGUUGUAAUUUGUAGAAUUUGUCUUUGAUUAGGUCCUUGCCUAUGUUCCUUGGAGCAGGACGUCAUAGAGGGUGAGAAUCCCGUUUGGCGAGGAUACCUUUUCUCUGUAAGACUUUUUCGAAGAGUCGAGUUGUUUGGGAAUGCAGCUCAAAGUGGGUGGUAAAUUCCAUCUAAAGCUAAAUAUUGGCGAGAGACCGAUAGCGAACAAGUACAGUGAUGGAAAGAUGAAAAGAACUUUGAAAAGAGAGUGAAAAAGUACGUGAAAUUGUUGAAAGGGAAGGGCAUUUGAUCAGACAUGGUGUUUUUUGCAUGCACUCGCCUCUCGUGGGCUUGGGCCUCUCAAAAAUUUCACUGGGCCAACAUCAAUUCUGGCAGCAGGAUAAAUCAUUAAGAAUGUAGCUACUUCGGUAGUGUUAUAGCUUUUUGGAAUACUGUUAGCCGGGAUUGAGGACUGCGCUUCGGCAAGGAUGUUGGCAUAAUGGUUAAAUGCCGC
Molecule: ribosomal RNA, 572 nt
Filed under: uncultured Hanseniaspora
Lineage: Eukaryota; Fungi; Ascomycota; Saccharomycetes; Saccharomycodales; Saccharomycodaceae
Description: LSU rRNA
Rfam family: Eukaryotic large subunit ribosomal RNA
Source: RNAcentral